GAUGAGCGCUGGCGGCGUGCCUAAUACAUGCAAGUCGAGCGAACGGACGAGAAGCUUGCUUCUCUGAUGUUAGCGGCGGACGGGUGAGUAACACGUGGAUAACCUACCUAUAAGACUGGGAUAACUUCGGGAAACCGGAGCUAAUACCGGAUGAUAUUUUGAACCGCAUGGUUCAAAAGUGAAAGACGGUCUUGCUGUCACUUAUAGAUGGAUCCGCGCUGCAUUAGCUAGUUGGUAAGGUAACGGCUUACCAAGGCAACGAUGCAUAGCCGACCUGAGAGGGUGAUCGGCCACACUGGAACUGAGACACGGUCCAGACUCCUACGGGAGGCAGCAGUAGGGAAUCUUCCACAAGGGGCGAAAGCCUGACGGAGCAACGCCGCGUGAGUGAUGAAGGUCUUCGGAUCGUAAAACUCUGUUAUUAGGGAAGAACAUAUGUGUAAGGAACUGUGCACAUCUUGACGGUACCUAAUCAGAAAGCCACGGCUAACUACGUG
RNAcentral lists this ribosomal RNA (497 nucleotides) under uncultured bacterium. RNAcentral describes it as "partial 16S ribosomal RNA". It matches the Rfam family "Bacterial small subunit ribosomal RNA", at positions 28 to 507 of the family's 1533-position model. The record is from RNAcentral.